UACGUAGGGUGCAAGCGUUAUCCGGAAUUAUUGGGCGUAAAGAGCUCGUAGGCGGUUUGUCGCGUCUGCUGUGAAAACUGGGGGCUCAACCCCCAGCCUGCAGUGGGUACGGGCAGACUAGAGUGCGGUAGGGGAGAUUGGAAUUCCUGGUGUAGCGGUGGAAUGCGCAGAUAUCAGGAGGAACACCGAUGGCGGAAGGCAGAG
Molecule: ribosomal RNA, 204 nt
Filed under: uncultured bacterium
Lineage: Bacteria
Description: partial 16S ribosomal RNA
Rfam family: Bacterial small subunit ribosomal RNA
Source: RNAcentral